RNAcentral lists this ribosomal RNA (253 nucleotides) under uncultured bacterium. Its description in RNAcentral is "partial 16S ribosomal RNA". It matches the Rfam family "Bacterial small subunit ribosomal RNA", at positions 524 to 776 of the family's 1533-position model. The record is from RNAcentral.
UACGUAGGGGGCAAGCGUUGUCCGGAUUUAUUGGGCGUAAAGAGCGUGUAGGCGGCCAGAUAGGUCUGCUGUGAAAACUCGAGGCUUAACCUCGAGAUGUCGGCGGAAACCGUCUGGCUAGAGUCCGGAAGAGGAGAGUGGAAUUCCUGGUGUAGCGGUGAAAUGCGCAGAUAUCAGGAAGAACACCUAUGGCGAAGGCAGCUCUCUGGGACGGUACUGACGCUGAGACGCGAAAGCGUGGGGAGCGAACAGG